This 342-nucleotide ribosomal RNA is filed under the name uncultured bacterium. Its description in RNAcentral is "bacterial SSU rRNA". It matches the Rfam family "Bacterial small subunit ribosomal RNA", at positions 29 to 352 of the family's 1533-position model. The record is from RNAcentral.
AACGAACGCUGGCGGCGUGCCUAACACAUGCAAGUCGAGCGGGAAAGUUCCCUUCGGGGAGCGAGUACAGCGGCGAACGGGUGAGUAACACGUAGGCAACCUACCCCGGAGACCGGGAUAACCUGUCGAAAGGCGGGCUAAUACCGGAUAAGACCACGAGGGCCUCGGCCCUUGAGGUAAAAGGUGGCCUCUGCUUGCAAGCUAUCACUCCAGGAUGGGCCUGCGCGCCAUUAGCUAGUUGGNGAGGUAACGGCUCACCAAGGCGAAGAUGGCUAGCUGGUCUGAGAGGAUGGCCAGCCACACUGGGACUGAGAUACGGCCCAGACUCCUACGGGAGGCAGC